UCUGGUUGAUCCUGCCAGUAGUCAUAUGCUUGUCUUAAAGAUUAAGCCAUGCACGUCUAAGGAUAAAUAUUUUUUAACCGUAAACCUGCGGAUGGCUCAUUAAAUCAGUUACAAUCUACUCUAUUGUAUAAAUUACUUGGAUAACCGUAGUAAUUCUAGAGCUAAUACAUGCAAAAAAUUUGAACUCGCAAGGGAACAAAUGUAUUUAUUAAGGAGCAAAAUCAAUACAGACCAUUCCAAACUCUAGAUUAUACUUUAACCGGUAUUUUUUAGGGGGUUUGUAAAAAACAAUUGAAGAAUCAUAGUAAACUUACGAAUCAUAAACUUAACUGUUUAUUGAUGAUAGGAACGAGUUUCUGACCUAUUAACUUUCGAUGGUAAUUUAGUGGAUUACCAUGGUUUUCAUGGGUAACGGAGAAUUUGGGUUUGAUUCCGGAGAAAAGGCCUGAGAGACGGCCAUUACUUCCAAGGAAGGCAGCAGGCGCGUAAAUUACCCAAUCCCAAUUCGGGGAGGUAGUGACGAGAAAUACUAGUAUUGGUCCCAACGGGAACAAUGAUUGGAAUGAGAACAAUUUAAAAACAUUAACGACUAACAAUUGGAGGGCAAGUCUGGUGCCAGCAGCCGCGGUAACUCCAGCUCCAAGAGUGUAUAUUAAAGUUGUUGCGGUUAAAAAGCUCGUAGUUGGACUUGAGGGAUUUAUAUAAAGGGAUUCUAGUUUUAAAGCUAGAUAUCCUUGUAUGUUUUUUCCUUUCUUUUUAUUCUCUUUUAGCAAGGGCGUUAAAAACUCUUGUGUGGGGAUAGAUAGUUUACUUUGAAAAAAUUAGAGUGUUUAAAGCAGACAUGACAUGUACAAUUGAAUAUUACAGCAUGGGAUAAUAGAAUAGGACAUUAACCUUAAUUUUGUUGGUUUUGAAGGUUAAUAGUAAUGAUUAAAAGGGAUAGUUGGGGUCACUUGUAUUUGAUCGCUAGGGGUGAAAUCCUAUGAUUGCUCAAAGACAAACUACUGCGAAAGCAUUUGACAAGGAUGUUUUCAUUGAUCAAGAACGAAAGUUAGGGGAUCGAAGAUGAUUAGAUACCGUCGUAGUCUUAACCAUAAACAAUGUCGACUUUGGAUUAGGAAAUAUUACAUGGAUGAUUUUCCUAGCACAAUAUGAGAAAUCAUAAGUAUUCAGACUCCGGGGGGAGUAUGGUCGCAAGAGUGAAACUUAAAGGAAUUGACGGAAGGGCACCACCAGGAGUGGAACCUGCGGCUUAAUUUGACUCAACACGGGGAAACUUACCGGGUCCGGACACUUUGAGGAUUGACAGAUUGAUAGCUCUUUCUUGAUUAAGUGGGUGGUGGUGCAUGGCCGUUUUUAGUUGGUGGAUUGAUUUGUCUGGUUAAUUCCGAAAACGAACGAGACCUUAACCUAUUAAAUAGUAUAAUUAAAAUUGAAUACAAAUUCUUGAAAUUUGAAAAAAAGAAAUGGAUACUUCUUAAAGGGACUCUUCAUAUUUUAGUGAAUGGAAGUUUAAGGCAAAAACAGGUCUGUGAUGCCCUUAGAUGUUCCGGGCUGCACGCGCGUUACACUGAUGCGAUCAAAAAGUUUAAUUUAAAUUUCCUUAUUUGAAAAGAUUGGGUAAACUCAGAAAUCGUAUCGUGAUUGGGAUAGUGCUUUGUAAUUAUCGCACUUGAACGAGGAAUUCCUAGUAGGUGCAAGUCAUCAUCUUGCUCCGAUUACGUCCCCGCCCUUUGUACACACCGCCCGUCGCUCCUACCGAUUGAAUAAUCCGAUGAGGAUUCAAGAUAGAGAUUUCUUAUUUGUCUGAAAGGAUAAAAAAGAAUUUUUUUAGAAUUUGUUCAAAUCUUAUUAUUUAGAGGAAGGAGAAGUCGUAACAAGGUUUCCGUAGGUGAACCUGCAGAAGGAUCAAGCUUGGAAUCCCGGG
Molecule: ribosomal RNA, 1927 nt
Filed under: Ptolemeba bulliensis
Lineage: Eukaryota; Tubulinea; Elardia; Euamoebida; Hartmannellidae
Description: SSU rRNA
Rfam family: Eukaryotic small subunit ribosomal RNA
Source: RNAcentral